This 253-nucleotide ribosomal RNA is filed under the name uncultured bacterium. RNAcentral's name for it is "partial 16S ribosomal RNA". It matches the Rfam family "Bacterial small subunit ribosomal RNA", at positions 524 to 776 of the family's 1533-position model. The record is from RNAcentral.
UACAGAGGGGGCUAGCGUUGUUCGGAAUUACUGGGCGUAAAGGGCGCGUAGGUGGCCUGUUAAGUCGAACGUGAAAUCCCCGGGCUCAACCCGGGAACUGCGUCCGAGACUGGCAGGCUCGAAUCCGGGAGAGGGAUGUGGAAUUCCAGGUGUAGCGGUGAAAUGCGUAGAUAUCUGGAGGAACACCGGUGGCGAAGGCGGCAUCCUGGACCAAUACUGACGCUGAGGAGCGAAAGCCAGGGGAGCAAACGGG